AGUGAACGCUGGCGGCGUGCCUAAUACAUGCAAGUCGAACGAUGAAGUCCUAGCUUGCUAGGAUGGAUUAGUGGCGCACGGGUGAGUAAUAUAUAGGUAAUCUGCCCUACACAGAGGAACAACAGUUGGAAACGACUGCUAAUACCUCAUACUCCUAUUUGACAUAAGUUAAAUAGGGAAAGUCUUUUCGGUGUAGGAUGAGACUAUAUCGUAUCAGCUAGUUGGUAAGGUAAUGGCUUACCAAGGCUAUGACGCGUAACUGGUCUGAGAGGAUGAUCAGGUACAUUGGAACUGAGACACGGUCCAAACUCCUGCGGGAGGCAGCAGUAAGGAAUAUUGCGCAAUGGGGGCAACCCUGACGCAGCCACGCCGCGUGGAGGAUGCCACUUUUCGGAGCGUAAACUCCUUUUAUCAGGAAAGAAUAAUGACGGUACCUGAUGAAUAAGCACCGGCUAACUCCGUG
RNAcentral lists this ribosomal RNA (463 nucleotides) under uncultured bacterium. Its description in RNAcentral is "partial 16S ribosomal RNA". It matches the Rfam family "Bacterial small subunit ribosomal RNA", at positions 29 to 507 of the family's 1533-position model. The record is from RNAcentral.